Molecule: long non-coding RNA, 295 nt
Filed under: Sorghum bicolor (sorghum)
Lineage: Eukaryota; Viridiplantae; Streptophyta; Magnoliopsida; Poales; Poaceae
Description: long non-coding RNA (SBIC_LNC010247)
Source: RNAcentral
UAAUGCAAAAAUGUAUUAUUUAAUUUUAAUAUCUUAAAGCAGAUGUUUUUGAUACAAAAAUUUGUCUGUGCAAUAUUUAAACGUAAAUUUUGUUUAUUUAUCAUCAUUUAUCUCCAAAAUCAUGAUAUACGUGAUAUUCACCAUUACAUCGAAUUAUUUUUUAAAAUUUUUCUCUCUUUCUUAUUUAUUUAUGCUUACAACAAUAUUGACCAUUACAUCAGAUUAUCUCUAACAACUUUGUAUUCAAAUUUUUUUCAUUUCAAGUCAUCAAAUGGGUCAUUUGACCAAGUUUGAC